This 253-nucleotide ribosomal RNA is filed under the name uncultured bacterium. RNAcentral describes it as "partial 16S ribosomal RNA". It matches the Rfam family "Bacterial small subunit ribosomal RNA", at positions 524 to 776 of the family's 1533-position model. The record is from RNAcentral.
UACGUAGGGUGCGAGCGUUAAUCGGAAUUAUUGGGCGUAAAGGGCUCGUAGGCGGUUUGUCGCGUCGGGAGUGAAAUCAUCUGGCUUAACUGGGUGCUUGCUUUCGAUACGGGCAGACUAGAGGUAUGCAGGGGAGAACGGAAUUCCUGGUGUAGCGGUGAAAUGCGCAGAUAUCAGGAGGAACACCGGUGGCGAAGGCGGUUCUCUGGGCAUGAUCUGACGCUGAGGAGCGAAAGUGUGGGGAGCGAACAGG